UAAAAUUUGUUUUUAAUGUUUUUAAAGAUAAUCUUUUAUUUAAAAAUUAAUAUUUAAUAAAUAUUAUUUUCGAAAUUAAAAAAGUAGCAGAUAUUAUUAUUAUUAUUGAUUAUAAUUUUUUUAAAAAAUUAAUUUCGAAUCUUCAAAGUUUAGUGCAAAAAUAUUAAAAGUAUAACUUUAUUAUUUUUUGUUUAUUGUAAAAAAAAAUUAUAGUUUUUAGUUUUAU
Molecule: transfer RNA, 226 nt
Filed under: Pneumocystis jirovecii
Lineage: Eukaryota; Fungi; Ascomycota; Pneumocystomycetes; Pneumocystales; Pneumocystaceae
Description: tRNA-Pseudo(TTT)
Source: RNAcentral